RNAcentral lists this ribosomal RNA (325 nucleotides) under uncultured eukaryote. RNAcentral's name for it is "partial 18S ribosomal RNA". It matches the Rfam family "Eukaryotic small subunit ribosomal RNA", at positions 1470 to 1796 of the family's 1831-position model. The record is from RNAcentral.
CCCUUAGAUGUUCUGGGCUGCACGCGCGCUACACUGAUGCGCUCAACGAGUUUACGACCUUGCCCGGAAGGGUUGGGUAAUCUUUUUAAAACGCAUCGUGAUGGGGAUAGAUUAUUGCAAUUAUUAAUCUUUAACGAGGAAUUCCUAGUAAGCGCGAGUCAUCAGCUCGUGCUGAUUACGUCCCUGCCCUUUGUACACACCGCCCGUCGCUCCUACCGAUUGAAUGCUCAGGUGAGCCAUUCGGACCUUCAUCAUGCCGGUUUCCGGUUUUGAUGAGGGAAAGUCUUGCGAACCUUAUCAUUUAGAGGAAGGAGAAGUCGUAACA